RNAcentral lists this ribosomal RNA (590 nucleotides) under Colletotrichum fructicola. RNAcentral describes it as "eukaryotic LSU rRNA". The stretch from base 228 to 381 matches the Rfam family "5.8S ribosomal RNA". The record is from RNAcentral. Lineage: Eukaryota; Fungi; Ascomycota; Sordariomycetes; Glomerellales; Glomerellaceae.
UGGAAGUAAAAAUCGUAACAAGGUCUCCGUUGGUGAACCAGCGGAGGGAUCAUUACUGAGUUUACGCUCUAUAACCCUUUGUGAACAUACCUAUAACUGUUGCUUCGGCGGGUAGGGUCUCCGCGACCCUCCCGGCCUCCCGCCUCCGGGCGGGUCGGCGCCCGCCGGAGGAUAACCAAACUCUGAUUUAACGACGUUUCUUCUGAGUGGUACAAGCAAAUAAUCAAAACUUUUAACAACGGAUCUCUUGGUUCUGGCAUCGAUGAAGAACGCAGCGAAAUGCGAUAAGUAAUGUGAAUUGCAGAAUUCAGUGAAUCAUCGAAUCUUUGAACGCACAUUGCGCCCGCCAGCAUUCUGGCGGGCAUGCCUGUUCGAGCGUCAUUUCAACCCUCAAGCUCUGCUUGGUGUUGGGGCCCUACAGCUGAUGUAGGCCCUCAAAGGUAGUGGCGGACCCUCCCGGAGCCUCCUUUGCGUAGUAACUUUACGUCUCGCACUGGGAUCCGGAGGGACUCUUGCCGUAAAACCCCCCAAUUUUCCAAAGGUUGACCUCGGAUCAGGAUGGAAUACCCGCUGAACUUAAGCAUAUCAAA